This 1705-nucleotide ribosomal RNA is filed under the name Trigonostomum penicillatum. RNAcentral describes it as "eukaryotic LSU rRNA". It matches the Rfam family "Eukaryotic large subunit ribosomal RNA", at positions 16 to 1510 of the family's 3401-position model. The record is from RNAcentral. Lineage: Eukaryota; Metazoa; Platyhelminthes; Rhabdocoela; Trigonostomidae.
UUAGGUCGACCCGCUGAAUUUAAGCAUAUCAAUAAGCGGAGGAAAAGAAACUAACUAGGAUUCCCUUAGUAACGGCGAGCGAACAGGGAAGUGCUCAUAACCGAAUCCUGUGGCGUGAUGUCAUUGGGAAAUGUGGUGUUUGGGUAUCCUUAUGUGAUAUUUUUCUGAUUCUAAGUCCACGUGAUUGUGGCUCAUAGCCCAAGGAGGGUGCAAGGCCCGUAAGAAUUGGAAACUUAUUGCUCUUAGGUACCCUAGAGUAGGGUUGUUUGGGAAUGCAGCCCAAAGUGGUGGUAAACUCCAUCAAAAGCUAAAUACAACACGAGUCCGAUAGCGAACAAGUACCAUGAGGUAAAGUUGAAAAGAACUUUGAAGAGAGAGUUCAAUAGUACGUGAAACCGCUCAGAGGUAAGCGGGUAGAGCUGAAAGUGGUGUGAUGAUUGAAGUCUUCUUAUUUGCACAUUUGAGAUUUGUGGAUCUUUACGGACCGCUGCUCUUAUGUUGUUAAAAUUGGUUGGCCGUUUAUCUCAUGCCUUAACCACGAUCGGCGAUAUAUAUGAGUCUACCAUUGGUUGGAGGUACCCAAUGCUGCCCUGUGCGGUGUUGGUUUUUAUAAUGACUAAUGUGGAGCUUGUAUUUUGCUGAGCAUAGCGGUGCAAGUCUUAUGACGCACAAGUGGUGAUAUGAUCAGAUUGUAGGAAUAUGACUCGCAAGAGUUGUGUACUUAUUAGUUUGGUUAUUGUUGCUGCCUCUGUGUAUUGUGCCCAUAAUCUGUGGUUUUUUGUAGGCUUUCUACCCGGCCCGUCUUGAAACACGGACCAAGGAGUCUAACAUAUACGCGAGUCAUUGGGUUCUACGAAACCUAAAGGCGAAUUGAAAGAGAAGGAUUGCUUUCGUAAUCUGAGGUAUGAUCUGUGUCUUUACGGAGAUGCGGCGCAAUACCGACUUGUCUCAUGUUUUUUAAACGAGGCAACGUAAGAGCGUAUAUGAUGGUACCCGAAAGAUGGUGAACUAUGCUUGCAUAGGUUGAAGCCAGAGGAAACUCUGGUGGAGGACCGAAGCGCUUCUGACGUGCAAAUCGAUCGUCAAAUGUGAGUAUAGGGGCGAAAGACUAAUCGAACCAUCUAGUAGCUGGUUCCCUCCGAAGUUUCCCUCAGGAUAGCUGGCACUUGGGAAAUAAACAGUUUUAUCCGGUAAAGCGAAUGAUUAGAAGCAUUGGGGACGAAAUGUCCUCAACUUAUUCUCAAACUUUAAAUGGGUAAGAUGCCACACUCUCUUAAAUUAUGGAGUGAUGACAUUGAAUGUAAGUGCCUAGUGGGCCAUUUUUGGUAAGCAGAACUGGCGAUGUGGAAUGAACCAAAAGCGGUGGUUAAGGUGCCUAAAUAAGCGCUCAUGACAAACCACAAAAGGUGUUGGUUGAUAUAGACAGCAGGACGGUGGCCAUGGAAGUUGGAAUCCGCUAAGGAGUGUGUAACAACUCACCUGCCGAAUCAACCAGCCCUGAAAAUGGAUGGCGGUGGAGCGUUUUACCUAUACCGCGCCAUUACUGUAUGCUAAAUGCAAGGACACAGUAAUGUGUAGGAGGGCGACGUGGUAAGCAUUGAAGCCUAGAAUGUAAAUUCGGGUGGAGCUGCCAUGUGUGCAGAUCUUGGUGGUAGUAGCAAGUAUUCAAGUGAGAUUCUUGAAGACUGAAGUGGAGAAGGGUUCC